AGAGUUUGAUCAUGGCUCAGAUUGAACGCUGGCGGUAGGUUUUAUCCAUGCAAGUCGAGCGGUAACAGACAUUUUGAUUCAGCUUGCUGAAUCUAGUGCUGACGAGCGGCGAACUGGUGAGUAACGCGUAGGAAUCUGCCCAGUAGCGGGGGAUAGCCCGAGGAAACUCGGAUUAAUACCGCAUACGCCCUAAGGGGGAAAGGGGGCAUCUUUGAUGCUCUUACUAUUGGAGGAGCCUGCGUAAGAUUAGCUUGUUGGUAGGGUAAAGGCCUACCAAGGCGACGAUCUUUAGCUGGUCUGAGAGGACGAUCAGCCACAUUGGGACUGAGACACGGCCCAGACGUCUACGGACGGCAGCAGGAGAGAAUAUUGGACAAUGAGGGAAACCUUGAUCCAGCCAUACCGCGUGUGUGAAGAAGGCCUUAGGGUUGUAAAGCACUUUAAGCGAUGAAGAAGAAAAGUAAGUUAAUACCUUAUUUUUUUGACGUUACUCGCAGAAUAAGUACCGGCUAACUCCGUGCCAGCAGCCGCGGUAAUACGGAGGGUACAAGCGUUAAUCGGAAUUACUGGGCGUAAAGCGCGCGUAGGCGGUUAAGUAAGUUGGAUGUGAAAGCCCUGGGCUCAACCUAGGAACUGCAUUCAAAACUAUUUAACUAGAGUACGAGAGAGGAGAGUAGAAUUUCUGGUGUAGCGGUGAAAUGCGUAGAUAUCAGAAGGAAUACCAAUGGCGAAGGCAGCUCUCUGGAUCGUCACUGACGCUAAGGUGCGAAAGCGUGGGUAGCAAACAGGAUUAGAUACCCUGGUAGUCCACGCCGUAAACGAUGUCUACUAGCCGUCGGGGAGCUUGACUCCUUGGUGGCGCAGCUAACGCGAUAAGUAGACCGCCUGGGGAGUACGGCCGCAAGGCUAAAACUCAAAGGAAUUGACGGGGGCCCGCACAAGCGGUGGAGCAUGUGGUUCAAUUCGACGCAACGCGAAGAACCUUACCAGCCCUUGACAUGCACGGGACAACCCCAGAAACGGGGCCUCUCUUCGGAGUCCGUGUGCAGGUGCUGCAUGGCUGUCGUCAGCUCGUGUCGUGAGAUGUUGGGUUAAGUCCCGCAACGAGCGCAACCCUCGUCUUCAGUUGCCAUCGGGUAAUGCCGGGCACUCUGAAGAGACUGCCGGUGACAAACCGGAGGAAGGUGGGGAUGACGUCAAGUCAUCAUGGCCUUUAUGCCCAGGGCUACACACGUGCUACAAUGGCCGGUACAAAGAGUCGCAAGACCGCGAGGUGGAGCAAAUCUCAUAAAACCGGUCUCAGUUCGGAUUGGAGGCUGCAACUCGCCUGCAUGAAGUUGGAAUCGCUAGUAAUCGUGGAUCAGCACGCCACGGUGAAUACGUUCCCGGGCCUUGUACACACCGCCCGUCACACCACGAAAGCCGAUUGUACUAGAAGUC
Molecule: ribosomal RNA, 1440 nt
Filed under: uncultured bacterium
Lineage: Bacteria
Description: bacterial SSU rRNA
Rfam family: Bacterial small subunit ribosomal RNA
Source: RNAcentral